Long non-coding RNA from Prionailurus viverrinus (fishing cat), 1216 nucleotides. RefSeq lists it as uncharacterized. NCBI's taxonomy places the organism in Eukaryota, Metazoa, Chordata, Mammalia, Carnivora, Felidae. The record is from RefSeq and is a predicted model, not a curated record. The transcript is spliced from 3 exons.
AUUCGCCUCUUUCUGUGUGUUUUGUUUGUUUCUUUGUUUGCUUGUUCCCCUAUAACAGGUCAAAAUGUUAACGCUUUUGAUAAAUCAGUGUUUUCACAGCGGAGCCGUGUAGGAAGGCGGGAGUGCGUAAUGAGGGUUCAUUCAUUCUUUCAUUCAACAGGUUGCAGCUUCAGCUAUUCAUUACGUAUUACUUGAGUAACUGAUAUUACAGGUAUUGCUUGCUAAUAUGGAAGGUACACGAUUCAAGACUCCGAAGAGAUGAGAGUUUAAAGGCGAAUCUGGCACGUGUAUACGGACAAUUUGAUGACGCAUUUGUGCAAUGCACUACAGAAGAAGGAACGUCCGAAGCAGCUUGGCAACGUGUAAAAUAGGUAGAAAAAGAUGUCCUAACUGAAAAGUGUGGAUUAUUGGCCUUUACCAGACAGGAGGAUCAGCCUGGAUUCCCAGCCUUCCUUGGUCCAAACUACCCCACUGUCACCUGAUGUCAGCCUCUGAUGUUCCAUGUAUAAUUAAUGUGGUCACCCUGGUAACCAAAUCCUAACUGAAAGUAAUCUCUUCACCCAACGUGGAGCUGGAACUCAUAACCCUGAGAUCAAGAGUCACAUGCUCCACCGACUGAUCCAGAGCCAGGAACCCCUCUGUUCUAACUGUAAAAGGAAAAUAAAGAAGAUAAUCGAUGGUGCAAAAGAUUGUAUAGAAAGAGAAUGAAUUACCUGACAAUACUCAGGGUUCUUUCUGUUAUAUAUAUCCUUUGGAAAAAAACUAUGGUGCUCUAAGCAUUUAUGUAACUUAAGAAAUUUGGAGUCUCUGGUUGAAAAGCUACAGUUUGAAGAGGAUUUAUAUUUUUUAAAAAUGAAAUAGCCAAGGCUUGGACUGUAUUAAACAUCUGAAAACACAAUAAAUAAGGCCAAAUUAAAUGGUGGUGGCGAGAAGGGUACAUGGUAGGCUAACUUGAGCAGCAACCAAUAACAGUAAAAAUACAGUUUAAAUGAUCAUCAAGGGCCAGACGCAAAGGUAAUUACUUCUUUCUCUGUUUUUUUAAUACCAGUUUUAUUGAGAUAUAAUUAACAAUUCACCAUUUAAGGUAUAUAGUCCUAUGGGUUUUAGUAUGUUUACAGAGUUGUAUAGCCAUCACCACAAUCAAUUUUAGAAUAUUUUCAUCCCUCCCCAAUAAACCCUGCCCAUUAGUAGUCACUGCCUUUUCCUCACUACCCUC